CUUGCCUUUCCCCUUUGAUGUACCGUCCUCCUUUUGAGCUUGUUCUUUACCAAGAAUAAGAAAAAACAUGAGUUUUAAUUCAUUUAACAACAUAUAAUUUAUUGAAAACAUGAAAGGCUAUGUUUACCUAGCCUAGUUUUCAAUUCCUAUCACUUACCACUUAAGCACCUAAACUUCUCUCCUUCUUCCCUCCUUCUCUAUGGUUUCCUUGCUGGUUAUUACACUUAGGAACAGAUUUUGCAUGGAUGAAGGCUUGGUCUUUAUGGAGAUAUUUGAUAGAAAUGGAGGAAAUGAAGGAAAUUCACUUUGUCUUUUCUUUUUGGUGUAGCUACGGCAAAGAUGGGACAAAUGGAAGACAACCCUUUUCUUUCAUGCUUAGUCAUGUAUGGCUAGGUGUCAUAUGGUGGGUUAGGUGUAAAUGUAGCAAAAGGUGGAGGCCAAACUUGGAAUUUUAC
This 455-nucleotide long non-coding RNA is filed under the name Manihot esculenta (cassava). RNAcentral describes it as "long non-coding RNA (MESC_LNC009695)". The record is from RNAcentral. Lineage: Eukaryota; Viridiplantae; Streptophyta; Magnoliopsida; Malpighiales; Euphorbiaceae.